UUCUUAAUUAUAUUAUUUGUGGAAAUGUCGAAAAUUUACCAAAUUGAGAAAGUUUCUCAUCGCCCAAGUUUCAAUUGGACAGAAACUUGGAAUCAUGCGAUUUUGAUCCCCCGUUUAGUGAGUCGUGAAAGCACCUACCUUAUGUUUAGACGUAUUGGUUUCAGUGAAAAGCCAUUGGCAAGGUCCUCUUGCUCUGCUCUGUCCUCAACUACGACGGCUACAGGCCUGACCAAGAGCACAAAAGAGCUUUAUUAACUUGGUUGCACGAUGAAUGAGAAAUUUCAUAUUUGGAAAUUAGACUAAUUCAUUGACAAAGUGUCAAGUGAAGGACUAGGAGAUCAAGUACACAAAGUUGUGUGUUGGUCAAAGUCCACCAUAAGAGUAACAAAGAUAUUCGUCAUGUUUUACUAAAAGUUUAGUAAAUAUGAUUAUACUUAUAAGAUUAAGUGUAAUUCAGAAUUGAUUAAAAAGGUUUAAAUCAAUAGCAAAACGAAUAAGAAGAAUCAAGUAGGCAGAAAGAUAAAAGUUUCUCCAUUCUAAGAAGAAGGGAGAGUAGCUUUUAUGCUUUAUGAUAGGUCUUAAUGAUUAAGAACCAUAUCUCAAUUAAUCCUCUAAGAGAGUCUUAGUACAAUUGCAUGUCUAAGAAGAGGAUUCAAGAAUUGAAGAAAUGGUUAAAUCAAGAAGUCAAUCAUACUUCGUUCCAAAACAAGUCUUAGAGUUAAGAUUGUGACAUUGAGUGAUAAGUAUUAAGAAGGUUUAUAACAUUCAUCAAAUGUGGAAAGUUGUGAUGUCUUGGAUAAGACAAAGACCAACUAGGACCAAUUUAUGAAGUGUUUUGAUAAAAGCUACACUAACUCUUGAAUAUUUGUUUGUCAAGAAAUGGUUAUUGACAAGAGAAUCUUAUAUGUCAAGGAGUCAGUGGGAGUCUUAAUGUUCUUGAAAGGUUUCAAGAACAAAUCCAAAUAAACCUUAUCGAUCAUCACUAGCACACGAGUUGAGGUUUACAACCUAUCGUGUUGACAUUAUUUUGUUUCUAUGCUGUUCCAAUUAAGUUAAUUAUGCAUAUGAGUUAUAUGAGUUCUCAUUUUGAACACAUAAAAGGCAAGGCACCUUAAACAAUGAAAUGUACAUUGAUAGGAAAGGGUGAGCUACUUAACUACUUGGAAGACAUGGUGGGCAGCUGUGCUACCAUAAGGCAAGAAAUCAAGAUUAAGAAAGUUCGGUCCAUAUGAGUUUGAAUUUGUUGUAAACUUUGGUUUUAACAAAUUCACAUGGAUAGGAACACAUACACCAUUUAAAUGUAUGUGUCAUAAGAUUUUCUCCUUCAUGAAAAUGAUUGUGAGGAAAUGCUUUCACUAAGAAAGAUUUUAAGAAGAUAGUGAUUGUAAAAUUGCAUUCUCAAAUUCGAUUAUGGUUACGGUAUCCCUUUCCAUAAUUUGAAUUGUGAGGUUUGGCAAUUAGUCUUAAUUGUUUAGACACACAUAUGAAGUAUCUAAGGCAAAAGUGUAUAAGAAGCCUUGAUAAAAGAUUAUCACAUAGAAAUGUAGAUAUGCUCAAAACUCAUCACCUACACUCGAGGAGUUCGAGACUCUUCAGUUCUGGUUUGGGUUUAUGCCCGAGCAUGGGGUCCAGUUCCCGUCGAAGGGGUCUACUAUUUAUCAACGACCGGCCGAGAAGUCCAGUAUUCUGGUGGUGAUCUUCGAGGCUGGGUUCCGUUUUCCUAUUUUUGACUUCUUCAAUGAAGUCAUGCGAGAGUAUGGUUUUACUGUUCACGAUCUGACCAUGAACGUCGUGAACAAGAUAGUUGGGAUCGAGUUGGGGUGUCGAGUGUGGGCUGUAGUUCCUCAUUUUCAAGCAUUCCAUUCUUUCUUUAAUAAGUCGACUCAUUCGGGCAUUCACACUUUUUCUUAGUGCCACAACACACAUUCCUUUAUAUUUAACCAGAAAGCACCACGAAAUAAGUAGCAGGAUCAAUGUUUUUGGGUCAACAGUGAUUUGGUUGGUGCAGGCUAUCCUCCUUUGAUCAUGGCUUCAGACCGGGUGCCCCAUCUUUUAGGUGUCAGUUUAUCUGUGUUCCACGCACAGAAGGGAAUUUGUUUUGACGAUGAGGACUGGUCGGGUUGCAUAUUGGCGGUUGUUGGGAUAAGUGUUGCUUGAUGUUCACGUGGGAAGAUUCGUCAUUUUUUUGUGAAUAAUGGUGGUAAGUGUUACCUUCCNGAUUGGACCGUUGACUGGAGUUGACUUUCGUUGACUUUUAGGGUUUAUUCAACAUGUAGACAUUUGGACCAGUGGAGGGGCAAAAUGGUCUUUUCCACUUCUGAGAGAUUAUAGGAAGGGAUUAGUCUAGCCUUUGAGAACCGUUGUUAAUUAGAGGUAAUUUACUUUGUGUAAUUAGGCGGAGGCUAGAUCAGUAUUUCGAGUUCGAGACUUUCCGAGAUUACCCGAUGUGAGUCUUCUCACUAUACUUAUCUUGAGUGGUAAACCUUAUGUGUGACCAGGGGGUCCUAUGUGCAUGAACUGUGUAAUGAGAUAUCAUGCUAUUUACUUGUGUUAUGCUUUAUGAGUAUUAUAUUGUGAUGCUGAGUUGAGGGACCGGGGGGUCCAUAUGAGUUGUAGGACCAGAGGGUCCUACUGAGACACAUUGACCAAAGGGUCUAAUUGAGUUAUAGCCUCGAGUGGCUAAUGUGUUGUGUGUGAUAUUUUCAGGAACUCACUAAGCUUUUAUGCUUACCGUGUUAUGUAUUAUGUGUUUCAGGUAGUUCCGAGGAUCGCGGCAAGGCACCAGCAUGAUUGUACACAUCGGCAGGAGAUUGUUUUUAUUUUUUUUAUUCUGGGGUUGUGUUUUCUUUUGUUGACAUUUGAGACAUGUGUGUUUUGAGAAUUAUGAUACAAGUUUUUAUUGUGUUAAAAAUCAAAAAAAAAAGUUGUUUUGGAAAUUUACAUUGUUACAAAUUUUUUUCUCAACACCGCAACACACAUUCCUUUAAAGUUAACCAGAAAGAACCACGAAAAAACUAGCAGGAUCGAUGGUUGUGGGUCAACAACGAUUUGGUUGGUGUUGGCUAUCCUCGUGUGACCAUGGCUUUGAACUGGGCGCCCCCUCUGUCGAGUGUCGGUUUAUCUGUGGCCCGCGCACUGAGGCAAAUUUGUUUUGACAGCGAAGAUUGGUCGGACUGCAUAUUGGCGGCAGCCAGGAUGAGCGCUACUUGGCGUUCACGUGGGAAGAUUCCUUAGUUUUUUGUGAGUAACGGUGGUAAGUGUUACCUUUCCUUCCCCCUUUUUUUGUUUGUUGUCAUCUUUCUCCCUCUUUUUUCUUCAUUUUUCAUUUUGAAGCGGGUGUUGCAUUUUGGUUGUUGUAGGUGAAGAUAAGCUUUUGUCUCUCGAACAAGUAUUACAGGGGAAUUUUGGGGUUGAUCUUCGGUAUCACGUGGUUCCCCUAGUGGAGGCGCUACUUGCUCUAGCUACUGUCGAGCCUGCUCCUAAAUGCGAGGCCUCACCUAUCGUGGUGAGAGCCGAGGCUGCCUCUCCAUCUAAGGGGUCGGGUGUGCCUAGCUUCCAGGUCAUCUCAUGUCGUCGGUCUGCUGUUGCAGAUUUUGCCCUGGGGAAGGAUGUUGGUGGUGAUACUAUUGGCCGACGCUUAUGCCAAAAAUGCAACAUCAAAUCUUUUCUCUCUAAGUCACCUAUUGUUAUCGAUAUUGCUGAUGGUGAUGACCUGUAAGAGGCAGAGGCGGAUUGUUCACACCGUCAAGGAAAAACAAUCGUUAUGGGAGGUUGCUCCACCUCACCCUUGGCUUCGAAUGACGUCCCAUCAAAGUUGGGUUCUUCCACUUCAAGCGCCCCUGGUGUGUAUCUCCCAGGGUGUAACCUUACACCCAGUUCUCUUCUAUCGGAUUAGGGUCCGGCUAGUAAAUGGUGCAAUCAUGUGUUUCCUUUUGCUACCCUGGAGGCCCUAGAUUCCCUUUCUUAUUCUCAUAAGGCGGAUGAUCUUCAGUGUGCCGCUGUUCAGGUGGCUCCUUAUUUGGUGGCGGUUGUCAGCCGUCUCCGUUACAUUGGGUCUAACCAUUCGUGGUUGGAUCUCGUUAAAUUGGAGCGCGAAGAGCUCCAGAGAAGGUCUAGAUCCUCGAGAAGGAGCAGCGUAAGUUCGAUGAGCACUACCUUGUGCUAUCUGGGGAGAAAACCGUUGUUGAGGCUCAAGUGGUGACUCUAGAUGGGGAGGUCAAGCCUAUCUCAGCAGGUCCAAGAUUUGGCUAUGGAGAAAGCGACAUUAGUGGAACGUUUGGCGCUGCGAGGCAGUGAGAUCGCUUCUGAGGUAUCGAGGAGGAAAGUCGUGGAGACUGAUUUGUCUUGGGUUCUUCGAAAAAGGCUGGUCCGCAUAGUAGACAGUAUUGUCGAGAGCAGUGAGUGUACGCUCGGGAUUCGCCGCAUGAAGGCUACGUGUAUGGCUGCUAGUGUGGAGAGGGGAAAACAGGCGGCGCUGGUGUUGUCCCCUAGUUGCGACUUUGGCCCAUCCGAACUGGGCGCCAUGGCUCGGUCUAUUGACGGCAUGCACACUGCCAUUAGGGCUGUCGCAGAGAAACACUUCACAUCUUAUCUCAGCCUGGGCGAGCCUGGUCUUACUGAUCUCUGCCAAUUGUGUUCUGAGGAGGAGGACGUUGUUCCAGACUACGGCGUUGAGGGCUACGUGUGAACACAAUCUUAUUAGGGUCGAUGUUUUACUAGAUGUUUUUUGUAUUCUUGUUGUUGUUAUUUGUUGUUUGUUUGACACCACAAGAUGCUUUUAGUGUUUAAUGUUUGUAUGUUUUUGAAAUGUCAUCAUGUUUUCCUCUGUUUUGCAGAAGUGUCUCCCCGGAGAGUUUUUUAAAGGCCUGGACAUUAGCCCUGAGCCGGGUGACCUACUACCUUCCUUUUGUGGUCACUUAAGGUGAGCCGAGGUCAUCACCUCGAGCCUCCCUGAACCUGCGUCCGUUAGAUUUUUGUUUUUAGAGGAAGGUUAUGAUCCUUCAUACCCUUUGAAUAUGUCUGGUUCGAAAGCUUAGAGGCCUUGUUGUCUAGCCGAACUGACGUGUCCCCUGAGGAAUCAUCUCUUUUCAAUAUUUGCGGUUACAUGUUGCCGAUUUGGUCCGCCUAAACGGUCUGGGUGAUCAACCUAUGAUUCCGUUUGGUGAAUUCGUGAAACCCUUAUUUUUUGUUUUUAGUUUUUAUAUUUGCAUCUGCGUGCGUAUGCGUAUAUGUUGAUGAGUAAAAUUGGUCCUAUUUUCUUGCAAGACUUUACUAAUUGGAGAGUUCCUAGAGAAAAUAUCGAGUUUUACGUGUUGUCACUUUGACUUGGGUACAGCCCCGACACUAAAAGUUCGAGCGACACUGUCCCCCCCCCCCUUUUUUUCUUUUGCUAUACUAUUCUCGAAUUGUUUUUUAAGUAAAAGUGGCAUAGGUUGCGUGUGUUCCAUGUUCGGGGUAUUGGUCUUCCGUCUUGUAUGCCCCUUCCCAGGUCGCGCUCAGCUUUCCCUGCGGCUCCAAGUGGUAGGCCUUAUUCUUUCUCAGCACCCAUUCUCCGAUUUUGAAGUUUUUUGCUCUCACUCCUUUAUUAUAGAAGUUUUAUGUGUAGGUUUUGUAGGCUGAUUGUCGCGACCGUGCUGCCUGAGGCUUUUUGUCUAGCAUGUCCUGGUCUCGCCGUUGCUCUUCCUCGUUCGAUCUUGUGUCAAAGUGCGUUUCCCGUAGGGAUUCACUCAGAAUCUCGAGCUGGAGCACCGUUUUCGUGUCGUGUGUUAGACAGAAGGGUGUUUCUCCAGUUCCUAACCUCUCAGUAGCGCGAUAUGACCACAACAUCGUUGUCAGCUCUUCGGUCCAUGCCUCCUUUGCUUUCAUUAGGCAUUUUUUAAGUCUAUUCAGAAUGGUAUUAUUUGAUAUUUCGGUUUGUCCUUUCACUUGGGGGUGAGCUAUUGAGGUAAAGUAACGGUGGAUUUGCUUCUCCUCGCACCAUUUUUUCAAGGGGCUACCCAUAAACUGGGUGUUGUUGUCACUUAUCACGAACCUGGGAGUUCCAAACCGAGUCAGGAUGUUCUUCCACAUGAAUUUUAUCACCUAUUUUCCUGUGAUUGUGGCCAAAGGCUCCGCUUCAAUCCAUUUCGUAAAGUAGUUGACUGUGACUAAUUAGAACUUUAAUCCCCAUGGGGCCAUUGGGAAUGGUCCCAUGAUAUCGAUUCCCCAUUGGUGGAAAGGCCAUGGACUGCUGAUGUUGGUCAUGGUUGUUGUUGGUAGGCUCUGGAACGGGGCAAAUGCUUGGCACUCUGGGCAUUUCUUCGUGACUCCUGCCGCAUCCUUGUACAUGUUGGGCCAGUAUACCCCUAGGCAUAGUAUUUUCCAUGUGAGCGCUCGCGCCCCCUCAUGCGCUCUCAUCUCACCUGCGUGGCUUUCUUCCAGGAGAGCUUGGCCUUCGUUGUGCGAGAUGCAUCUGAGCCACAAUGCUAGAUACCCUCUUUUGUACAGUUGCAUGCCUUUCACUGCGAACUGGGGGGGUUUUGAGAGAAGAACUUUGGGAAACACUUGAACAAACGUUAGUACAAGUUGAUAAUUUCGGAAUAAGUUAAUCUCAAAGGAUCAUGAAAGCUCAACAAUAAUAAGUUAGAUUUGUUAGAUUUGUUAGUUGCGAAAAUGUAAAGGAAAUGUAAAUGACAAGUUAUAUCAAGUAAACACCAAACUGAUAUGAAACACGGUUUGCAAUCAAACACGAGUUAGUAAGUAUGACCAGUUUAAAGUGAAGAGGAUCUUUGAUCAUGAUCAGUAAGUAAUAUUGAGAUAUGAGAAGUGAUAAGAGAUAAGAAGUAGACUUGGAAUAAGAAGUGAAUUCAGAAAUUGUAGAAGUGGUGUUUGAUACAAAACAUGAGCACUCUAUUUAUAGAGCCUCGAAUACUUACAUUCAAGAUAAACAAUUAAUAAACUACUGACUAAAAAUACCAUACAAUGUCUAUUGGAUAAACAGAUGCUAUCACACAUCAGUAUAAAAGCUAACUCUUCAUUACGGUUCACUUCUAGAUUGCGGUAGUAGGAGAGUGAUUGCGGUAGACAGAGGAUCUUUGAUUUUUAUCUGACUGACCUCUUAUGGGUUAUCUGGGAGGAUCCCAUGAUACAAGUAAUCUAGGUAUGGUUUAGUCCAGUCUAGGAAUUUUGUCAUGACAUUGACUUGCUUGUUGUCUAUGCUCCUUUCUCCGAGUACUUCUUCCAGCACCUUCUUGGUUAAACGUUCGAAGGACGUUGAGGCCAACUUACAAAGAGCGCCGACUCUUAAUUUCUUCCCCCUGGGUAUUUGUUUGAUUUCGAAGUUGUUGAAAAAGUUUUCUAGCUACUGCGUCUUUUCGAGGUAUCUUUGCAUUCACUACUACAAAAAGACCCUUUUACGACCCGCAAACCACGACACUCAUUAGUGUUGGAUUAGUGUCUAAGUCCAUAACUAUUUUGGUAUGUACUUGACCCGAUGGUGCAUGGUCCUUUUAGGUUGCCUUCACCAAAGCAACUUGAUAGGAUGAAUUAUGGAGAGAAAGGAUUAAAUAUGACUUAUUAAUAUAUUAUGAGAAUAAUAUUAAAGGAGAAAUCAUAUUGUUUAAUUAAUAUUAGUCAAGAAUUAAAAGAAUUAAGUUUGUGACUAAAAGAGAUUAAUUAAACUUAAGGGGCUGGAAUUGUAAUUAUAAGAUAAUUGCAAUUUGGGCCAUGGAUUGCCUUAUAUUAAGGAGUGGACGAAUUCUAUGGGAAAGCCCAUGAGGAAAUCGUCCAAGGCCUUAAGGAAAGGAAUCGAUGGGUUGCUUAGGGCCAAUUUAGGGUUUCCUUGUUAGAUAACCCUAAUAGCCUCCUAUAUAUAUAGAUCCCUUAUGACCCAAAAACGUGGCUAAGCAUCCUUCUAGUGUUUCACACGUUUUAGGACAGCCUCCUUCCUCUCUCCUCUUCAUCCUCUUGCUCUUGGUGUUUGUGAACCAUUAGAGGAGUGACAUUUGUGACUCUAAGCUUUCUAAAGUCAAUACAAGGAGAUUUGGGAUUGUUAUUGCUACAUAACAAUCAAGGUAACAUCUUAAACUCAUUCUUAUGUUAAUAUGAUUACUUGUAUGCUAGAAUUAGGGUUUAUAGUCUUGGAUAACUUGCAUGUACAAUAGAGAAACCUAGAUCCAAGCAUUAGGGUUUGUAUGAGCACAUAGGAUGUUCUUAUGACUAAAACCCAUCAGUGGUAUCAGAGCCUAGACUGGUUUCAAUUGUAUUGAUGCAUUACAUGUUCAAAAAAUUCGAUUUUUGAUGUUCUGGAGGCUGGACUCGCCGAGUCCAUAGCUGAACUCGCCGAGUCCAUGCAGACUCGACGAGUCCAAGCUUGACUCGACGAGUCAACUCGUCAGAUGGAGUUAACUUCGGGAUUUCUUGCUGUUUUUGCUUAUGGAUAGUUACCUUAUCAUAUUAGAUCAAUAUAAAUCCGAUUUUAUGAUAUAUUUGACUAUAUUCUUGAUCUAAUUGAAGAUAUUUAUCAAUUAAUAAAAUAUUUGUUUCCUUAUGUGAUAAUUGAUUAAUUAUUUUGAUUAAAUUGAUAAAUUGUUUUGCAAGAAAUCAUUAAAUAAAUCAAAUAUGGAUAAUUAUGUGAUUAAAUGUUAAUUUGAAUUAUUUGUUAUUUGAUCCUUGUUGUUAUGAAAAGUUUCAUAUUUUGCCCUUUAGGUUUUAUAGUUUAAAUUUGAACCCAAAAGUUUUGUUGUUUUGAAAUUUAAAUAGUUGAAACCCUAAUGUUUUGAAAAAGGUUUCAAAACUUGCCCUCAAGUUUUGGAAUUUAAAUUUUGAUUAAAUAGUUUAAUUUUGAUGUAUAUUUAAAUUCUAAACCCUAAUGUGUUGAAAUGUUUCAAAACUUGCCCUCAAGUUUUGGAAUUUAAAAGUUGAUUAAAAGUUUAAUUAGGAAUGUUAAAUUCUAAAACUCUAGUAUAGUUUUGAAAAAGUUCAAAUCACACCCUUAUGGUUUUAUUAAUUAAUUAAGGUGUAUAAUUAAAAGAGGAUUAAUAAAUCCAUAAAAGUUUAGGUGUAUAAUUUAAUUGAAUUAAAAGUAUAAUUGUUAAAUUAGACCACCUAGUAUUUUGAAAGUAUAAAAUACACCCUAUACUAUAUAUAACAUUAAAAGUCUAACAUUAUAUAUAUGUAUGAGUAAAAGUCAGUCUUACCGUUAGUAGGCCUCAUUCACGAAGCUGGUCUAUAAGGGGUGUUUAAGGAAAUUGCCUAUAAAAUGGCGAUUGAAUGGGUAUCCACUCUUACCCACCGCACUCUUGACUAGUGGAGGGUCGUUAGCCGAACGGGUAGGAUAGGACGAAACCUUCCAUUAUAAGUAUAAUGAAGUAUAAAAGUAACUAAAUGUUUUCAUAAAAUUCCCAAUCUUAGUUACUUAGGCAAAAGUGAAUUGAUGCAAUUCCAUGAAAUUACACUUUGUGCCCUUGCGAAGACGUUAGUGGAGCGUGUGUGGUUUACCGGCACACUAAAUGGUUCUAAGCAAAGGUAGCAAAGGGUGACUCAAUGUUUGUCAUAGUUCGGUGGAGCGUGUGUGGUUUACCGGCACAUCGAAUAGGUGACUGUAACAUGUGAGGGCACCAUGUAAGUUUGCAUGGUUAUUCACACCCGCUUUGUGAUCCUCGGCAUCCCAGUCACAAACAAGAGGGGCAUAUCGAGAUUUAAACAUGCCAUUGAAAUGUUCAAUGAAUCUCAAAGGAUCUAGGAGUUUUCAUAGAUUUAAAACUUAAAUUUCUUUUUCGUUUUUCAUGGUGGAAAUUAGUGAAUCGUCAUUCACUUACCUUCAAAUGUUCUGCAAUUUGGGUUACGGCAUCCCUCUCCCGAGUUGUAGAAUAUUGUGUUGGGUCCUAGCCUUAGUAUCUCAUUUGGGUGAUUUACUAAGGACUCAAUCAAUCAACUAACUUGAAUUCGUUUUCUCCCGUUUUGUAGAUGUCAAAGUUCGACAACUAUGGUCUUCCCAAAUCCCGUGGAACAAGCAUUCCACAUGAAGAUGAUAUUCCACGAUUCGAUCGAGGAACAAGAAAUCAUGCUUCACUUCCUCCACCUCCUCCAAUUAUUCUCCCUAACCCACAAGUUCAAAGGCUUGAAAAGUUCAAGAUCACUCAAGCCCUUUUGGCAAGUAAACAUAAAGAAGGAAAGUCGGUGUGUGCACACGUCCUAGGGAUGAAGUCACACAUUGAUAGGUUAAGAAUGUUGGGAUCCGUUGUCUGUGAGGAAAUGGCUGUUGAUUGGGUUCUUCAGUCACUUCCUAACUCAUAUAGUGAGUUCGUAAGAGAGUACUAUAUGAUGAACUACGACGUGACCCUUAUAGAUCUCACCUAUAUGCUUAUUGCUGCUGAAUCAACAAUGAUUUGGCGCAAAAGAAAAGCAAAGUUGAUUGGUGAAUCUGCCUUCAAGACCUCUAUGGAUAUAGACAAUGGCAACGAAAGACAUGCUAUGAUCGAAAAGUUUGAUCAUAAGAGAAAGGCAAUGUCUGAACUAGUUCUAUGUCCUGUUCCAAAAGAGUCAAUUUGCUUUUAUUGCCAAGAGAAGGGGCAUUGGAGACGAAGCUGCCCUAUUUACCUAAGAGAUCUAAGAGAUGGGAGAGUCAAAACGUAUGGCUCUACUUUAGGUAAAAUCCAUUGACUAACUCUUUUAAGCUUCAUUCUAGAUUCUUAAUACAUAAUGUGAUAAGAUUACAAUUGAUGUUUUGUAGGAUCGAAGAAAAGAAAGGAAGCUUAAGGGAAGAAGUGAGCAGAAUCUAACCAUGAAGAAAUGGAUUUCGAUCGCAUUACUUGAAGAUUAGACUCCCGAGCUACUACUUAGAGUUAGAAUUAGAUUGCUAAGAAAUAUGUAUUAGCAUAGUUUUUCAAUGAAUUGCGUUGUAAGGAAAAAAAAAUUUCCCGCAAUAAAAUAAAUUUUGAUUUUAUAUUAUUUAUUUAUCCUUGCAAUGGCAUGUAUGAAAAAUUGAUGUUUGAAUGUUUCUAUUACUAGCAAUAGUGGAUUUGAUUCUUAAUUAUGGAAAUGUCGAAAAUUUACCGAAUAGGGAAAGUUUCUCAUCGCCCAAGUUUCAAUUAGACAGAAACUUGGAAUCAUGCAACUUGGUUGCACGAUGAAUGCGAUGAAUGAUAUUUGGAAAUUAGAAUAAUUCAUUGACAAAGUGUCAAGUGAAGGACUAAGAGACCGAGUACACAAAGUUGUGUGCUGAUCAAGUCCACCACAAGAAUAACAAAGAUAUUCGUGAUGAUUUACUAAAGGUUUAGUAAAUAUGAUUAUACUUAUAAGAUUAGGUGUAAUUCUGAAUUGAUUGAAAAAGGUUAAAUCAUUAGCAGAACGAAUAAGAAGAAUCAAGUAGGCAGAAAGAUAAAAGUUUCUCCAUUCUAAGAAGAAGGGAGAGGACCUUUUAUGCUUUAUGAUAGGUCAUAAUGAUUAAGAACCACAUCUCAGUUGAUCCUCUAAGUGAUACUUAGUACCAUUGUAUGUCUAAGAAGAGGAAUCAAGAAUUGAAGAAAUGGUUAAAAUCAAGAAGUCGAUCAUACUUCGUUCCAAAACAAGUCUUAAAGUUAAGAUUGUGACAUUGAGUGAAAAAGUAUUAAGAAGGUUUAUAACAUUCAUUAAAUAUGGAAAGUUGUGAUGUCUUGGAUAAAACAAAGACCAACUAGGACCAAUUUAUGAAGUGUUUUGAUAAAAGCUACACUAACUCUUGAAUAUUUGUUUGUCAAGAAAUGGUUAUUGACAAGAGAAUAUUAUAGGUCAAGGAGUCAGUGGGAGUCUUAAUUGUCUUGAAAGGUUUCAAGAACAAAUCAAAUUAACCUUAUCGAUCAUCACUAGCACACGAGUUAAGGUUUACAACCUAUCGUGUUGACAUUAUUUUGUUUCUGUGCCAAUCCAAUCGAGUUAAUUAUGCAUGUGAGUUCUAUGAGUUCUCAUUUUGAACGCAUAAAAGGCAAAGCACCUUAAUCAAUGA
Molecule: long non-coding RNA, 11962 nt
Filed under: Lactuca sativa (garden lettuce)
Lineage: Eukaryota; Viridiplantae; Streptophyta; Magnoliopsida; Asterales; Asteraceae
Description: long non-coding RNA (LSAT_LNC004608)
Source: RNAcentral